Molecule: ribosomal RNA, 1441 nt
Filed under: uncultured organism
Description: SSU rRNA
Rfam family: Bacterial small subunit ribosomal RNA
Source: RNAcentral
AGGAUGAACGCUAGCUACAGGCUUAACACAUGCAAGUCGAGGGGCAGCAUGGUCUUAGCUUGCUAAGACUGAUGGCGACCGGCGCACGGGUGAGUAACACGUAUCCAACCUGCCGUCUACUCUUGGACAGCCUUCUGAAAGGAAGAUUAAUACAAGAUGGCAUCAUGAGUCCACAUGUUCACAUGAUUAAAGGUAUUCCGGUAGACGAUGGGGAUGCGUUCCAUUAGAUAGUAGGCGGGGUAACGGCCCACCUAGUCUUCGAUGGAUAGGGGUUCUGAGAGGAAGGUCCCCCACAUUGGAACUGAGACACGGUCCAAACUCCUACGGGAGGCAGCAGUGAGGAAUAUUGGUCAAUGGGCGAGAGCUUGAACCAGCCAAGUAGCGUGAAGGAUGGCUGCCCUAUGGGUUGUAAACUUCUUUUAUAAAGGAAUAAAGUCGGGUAUGCAUACCUGUUUGCAUGUACUUUAUGAAUAAGGAUCGGCUAACUCCGUGCCAGCAGCCGCGGUAAUACGGAGGAUCCGAGCGUUAUCCGGAUUUAUUGGGUUUAAAGGGAGCGUAGAUGGAUGUUUAAGUCAGUUGUGAAAGUUUGCGGCUCAACCGUAAAAUUGCAGUUGAUACUGGAUAUCUUGAGUGCAGUUGAGGCAGGCGGAAUUCGUGGUGUAGCGGUGAAAUGCUUAGAUAUCACGAAGAACUCCGAUUGCGAAGGCAGCCUGCUAAGCUGCAACUGACAUUGAGGCUCGAAAGUGUGGGUAUCAAACAGGAUUAGAUACCCUGGUAGUCCACACGGUAAACGAUGAAUACUCGCUGUUUGCGAUAUACGGCAAGCGGCCAAGCGAAAGCGUUAAGUAUUCCACCUGGGGAGUACGCCGGCAACGGUGAAACUCAAAGGAAUUGACGGGGGCCCGCACAAGCGGAGGAACAUGUGGUUUAAUUCGAUGAUACGCGAGGAACCUUACCCGGGCUUAAAUUGCAGAUGAAUUACGGUGAAAGCCGUAAGCCGCAAGGCAUCUGUGAAGGUGCUGCAUGGUUGUCGUCAGCUCGUGCCGUGAGGUGUCGGCUUAAGUGCCAUAACGAGCGCAACCCUUGUUGUCAGUUACUAACAGGUUCCGCUGAGGACUCUGACAAGACUGCCAUCGUAAGAUGUGAGGAAGGUGGGGAUGACGUCAAAUCAGCACGGCCCUUACGUCCGGGGCUACACACGUGUUACAAUGGGGGGUACAGAGGGCCGCUACCACGCGAGUGGAUGCCAAUCCCCAAAACCUCUCUCAGUUCGGACUGGAGUCUGCAACCCGACUCCACGAAGCUGGAUUCGCUAGUAAUCGCGCAUCAGCCACGGCGCGGUGAAUACGUUCCCGGGCCUUGUACACACCGCCCGUCAAGCCAUGGGAGCCGGGGGUACCUGAAGUGCGUAACCGCGAGGAGCGCCCUAGGGUAAAACUGG